RNAcentral lists this ribosomal RNA (253 nucleotides) under uncultured bacterium. RNAcentral's name for it is "partial 16S ribosomal RNA". It matches the Rfam family "Bacterial small subunit ribosomal RNA", at positions 524 to 776 of the family's 1533-position model. The record is from RNAcentral.
UACGGAGGGGGCUAGCGUUAUUCGGAAUUACUGGGCGUAAAGCGUACGUAGGCGGUGGUUCAAGUCAGAGGUGAAAGCCCGGAGCUCAACUCCGGAACUGCCUUUGAAACUAGAUCGCUAGAACAUCGGAGAGGUAAGUGGAAUUCCGAGUGUAGAGGUGAAAUUCGUAGAUAUUCGGAAGAACACCAGUGGCGAAGGCGGCUUACUGGACGAUUGUUGACGCUGAGGUACGAAAGCGUGGGGAGCAAACAGG